GGUUAAGUGACUAAGCGUACACGGUGGAUGCCUUGGCAGUCAGAGGCGAUGAAAGACGUAGUAACUUGCGAUAAGCCCAGAUUAGGUAGUAACAACCAUUUGAGUCUGGGAUUUCUGAAUGGGGAAACCCACGUACAUAAGCACGUAUCCUUACCUGAAUACAUAGGGUAAGGAGGCGAACCGGGGGAACUGAAACAUCUAAGUACCCCGAGGAAAAGAAAUCAACCGAGAUUCCGAAAGUAGCGGCGAGCGAAAUUGGACUAGCCCUUAAGCUUUACACGCGUUAGACGAACGGUCUGGAAAGUCCGACGAUACAGGGUGAUAGUCCCGUAGUUGACGACNNGUGUUCAGUGAAAUCGAGUAGGGCGGGACACGUGAUAUCCUGUCUGAAUAUGGGGGGACCAUCCUCCAAGGCUAAAUACUACUGACUGACCGAUAGUGAACCAGUACCGUGAGGGAAAGGCGAAAAGAACCCCUGUGAGGGGAGUGAAAUAGAACCUGAAACCGUGUACGUACAAGCAGUAGGAGCAGGCUUUGUCCUGUGACUGCGUACCUUUUGUAUAAUGGGUCAGCGACUUAUAUUCAGUGGCAAGGUUAACCAUCUAGGGGAGCCGUAGGGAAACCGAGUCUUAACUGGGCGUUCAGUCUCUGGAUAUAGACCCGAAACCAGGUGAUCUAGCCAUGGGCAGGUUGAAGGUUGAGUAACAUCAACUGGAGGACCGAACCGACUAAUGUUGAAAAAUUAGCGGAUGACUUGUGGCUAGGGGUGAAAGGCCAAUCAAACCUGGAGAUAGCUGGUUCUCCCCGAAAGCUAUUUAGGUAGCGCCUCGGACGAAUACUACUGGGGGUAGAGCACUGUUAAGGCUAGGGGGUCAUCCCGACUUACCAACCCUUUGCAAACUCCGAAUACCAGUAAGUACUAUCCGGGAGACACACGGCGGGUGCUAACGUCCGUCGUGGAGAGGGAAACAACCCAGACCGCCAGCUAAGGUCCCAAAUUACUACUAAGUGGGAAACGAUGUGGGAAGGCUCAGACAGCCAGGAUGUUGGCUUAGAAGCAGCCAUCAUUUAAAGAAAGCGUAAUAGCUCACUGGUCGAGUCGGCCUGCGCGGAAGAUGUAACGGGGCUAAGUAGUAAACCGAAGCUGCGGCAAUAUACUUUUGAGUAUUGGGUAGGGGAGCGUUCUGUAAGCGGUUGAAGGUGUGUGGUAACGCAUGCUGGACGUAUCAGAAGUGCGAAUGCUGACAUGAGUAACGAUAAAGGGGGUGAAAAACCUCCUCGCCGGAAGACCAAGGGUUCCUGUCCAACGUUAAUCGGGGCAGGGUAAGUCGACCCCUAAGGCGAGGCCGAAAGGCGUAGUCGAUGGGAAACGGGUUAAUAUUCCCGUACUUCUUACAAUUGCGAUGGGGGGACGGAGAAGGCUAGGUGGGCCUGGCGACGGUUGUCCAGGUUCAAGUGCGUAGGCUUAAGAGUUAGGUAAAUCCGGCUCUUUCUAAGGCUGAGACACGACGUCGAGCACCUACGGGUGUGAAGUCAUUGAUGCCAUGCUUCCAGGAAAAGCCUCUAAGCUUCAGAUUGUAAGGAAUCGUACCCCAAACCGACACAGGUGGUCGGGUAGAGAAUACCAAGGCGCUUGAGAGAACUCGGGUGAAGGAACUAGGCAAAAUGGUACCGUAACUUCGGGAGAAGGUACGCUCUUGAUGGUGAAGUCCCUUGCGGAUGGAGCUGACGAGAGUCGCAGAUACCAGGUGGCUGCAACUGUUUAUUAAAAACACAGCACUGUGCAAAAUCGUAAGAUGACGUAUACGGUGUGACGCCUGCCCGGUGCCGGAAGGUUAAUUGAUGGGGUUAGACUUCGGUCGAAGCUCUUGAUCGAAGCCCCGGUAAACGGCGGCCGUAACUAUAACGGUCCUAAGGUAGCGAAAUUCCUUGUCGGGUAAGUUCCGACCUGCACGAAUGGCGUAAUGAUGGCCACGCUGUCUCCACCCGAGACUCAGUGAAAUUGAAAUCGCUGUGAAGAUGCAGUGUACCCGCGGCUAGACGGAAAGACCCCGUGAACCUUUACUACAGCUUGGCACUGAACAUUGACCCUACAUGUGUAGGAUAGGUGGGAGGCUUUGAAGCACGUACGCCAGUAUGUGUGGAGCCGUCCUUGAAAUACCACCCUUGUAGUGUUGAUGUUCUAACGUCGACCCCUAAUCGGGGUUGCGGACAGUGCCUGGUGGGUAGUUUGACUGGGGCGGUCUCCUCCCAAAGAGUAACGGAGGAGCACGAAGGUGGGCUAAUCACGGUUGGACAUCGUGAGGUUAGUGCAAUGGCAUAAGCCCGCUUGACUGCGAGAAUGACAAUUCGAGCAGGUGCGAAAGCAGGUCAUAGUGAUCCGGUGGUUCUGAAUGGAAGGGCCAUCGCUCAACGGAUAAAAGGUACUCCGGGGAUAACAGGCUGAUACCGCCCAAGAGUUCAUAUCGACGGCGGUGUUUGGCACCUCGAUGUCGGCUCAUCACAUCCUGGGGCUGAAGUCGGUCCCAAGGGUAUGGCUGUUCGCCAUUUAAAGUGGUACGCGAGCUGGGUUUAGAACGUCGUGAGACAGUUCGGUCCCUAUCUGCCGUGGGCGUUGGAAGAUUGAAGGGGGCUGCUCCUAGUACGAGAGGACCGGAGUGGACGAACCUCUGGUGUUCGGGUUGUGUCGCCAGACGCAUUGCCCGGUAGCUAAGUUCGGAAUCGAUAACCGCUGAAAGCAUCUAAGCGGGAAGCGAGCCCUGAGAUGAGUCUUCCCUGAUACUUUAAGUAUCCUAAAGGGUUGUCGGAGACUACGACGUUGAUAGGUCAGGUGUGUAAGUGCUGUGAGGCAUUGAGCUAACUGAUACUAAUUGCCCGUGAGGCUUAACCAU
This 2891-nucleotide ribosomal RNA is filed under the name Vibrio parahaemolyticus. RNAcentral describes it as "23S ribosomal RNA". It matches the Rfam family "Bacterial large subunit ribosomal RNA". The record is from RNAcentral. Lineage: Bacteria; Pseudomonadati; Pseudomonadota; Gammaproteobacteria; Vibrionales; Vibrionaceae.